UGCAUUCUGUGAACUUAAUUCUGUUCAAUGUGUCUCCUCUGUCUUCUCAGGCCCAGGAGGAUCUUACAGCCAGGGAGACCUGCAAGGCUGGAUUCUCAGAAGAAGGUUACACGGCAUUAAUCUCCCCAGAUAUUCUGCAAGGAGAGAGGCUGCUCAAAGCCCCUGUGUCUGUCCCGAUUCCCCAGCAGGAACCUGGGAACCUCGACCCACUGACUCGGGUCCUCAGAACCUGACCUCUGGGAGGGUCCCAGGCCCCGCGUGGCCCUGAGACCAGGCCCUGAAUUCAAAGGCGCUCUAAGCCACCUGUCCCUUGGCCUGGGGAACCAUCUGCUGUCAUCCGUCAUUGGGGCCGCGUCUGGGUCACGGUGAUUCGUGUUUGGAAAUAAACGCACGAUCCUU
RNAcentral lists this long non-coding RNA (399 nucleotides) under Ictidomys tridecemlineatus (thirteen-lined ground squirrel). RNAcentral describes it as "lncRNA (ENSSTOG00000030458.1)". The record is from RNAcentral. Lineage: Eukaryota; Metazoa; Chordata; Mammalia; Rodentia; Sciuridae.